CCUACGGGGGGCAGCAGUGAGGAAUAUUGGUCAAUGGGCGCGAGCCUGAACCAGCCAAGUCGCGUGAGGGAAGACGGUCCUAUGGAUUGUAAACCUCUUUUGUCGGGGAGCAAAAGACGUCACGCGCGGCGUUCCGAGAGUACCCGAAGAAAAAGCAUCGGCUAACUCCGUGCCAGCAGCCGCGGUAAUACGGAGGAUGCGAGCGUUAUCCGGAUUUAUUGGGUUUAAAGGGUGCGCAGGCGGAAGAUCGAGUCAGCGGUAAAAUUGAGAGGCUCAACCUCUUCGAGCCGUUGAAACUGGUGUUCUUGAGUGAGCGAGAAGUAUGCGGAAUGCGUGGUGUAGCGGUGAAAUGCAUAGAUAUCACGCAGAACUCCGAUUGCGAAGGCAGCAUACCGGCGCUCAACUGACGCUCAUGCACGAAAGUGUGGGUAUCGAACAGGAUUAGAUACCCCAGUAGUC
Molecule: ribosomal RNA, 459 nt
Filed under: uncultured bacterium
Lineage: Bacteria
Description: partial 16S ribosomal RNA
Rfam family: Bacterial small subunit ribosomal RNA
Source: RNAcentral